UAACAAUAAAUUAUUUGUUCAAUGAAUAAUAUAUAUUUCGAAUGGAAAAAUACAAAUGUAAACAAAUAAAUAAUUAUUAAUAAUAAUAAUAAUAACAAUAAUAAAUAAACAAACAAAUAUAUAGAUAUAAAUAUAUAAUUAUUAUUAUUAUGAGAGGAAGCGAUAAGGUUUAAUAUAUAUAUAAGGAAAUAAUAACAACCAUCAGGUAUCGAUGUGAUGAUGACUCGUCAUACUGAAAACUCCCAACCAAUCAGCAGCAACAAAAACAAAGCCCCCAAUGGGUGUAUAUACCGGCACAUUUCUAAGACCCAGUCAGUCUUUCAUUUCAUCUUCAACCGUCAACAAGUACCAGUUUUCAAGAACUUCAACCAAUAGUGACCGUAGAUUAGAAGACCAACACCAAGCAUCGCCGACGCUGCCCGCUGCCGCAUAACCUAAACGAGCACGAAGACUCAGUUUACAUCGACGAACAUUACGACGCCGACUGCAUAACGUCGAUACAGCGAGAUAACUGCAGCCGAGGUCAGCCAAUAGCCAUCAGUACGAUCUGCGACUCGGCGAUCACCAACGACUACGAGUACAUGACUUAAAUCCGUAUCAUCACUAGUGAUGGGCAUAAUCGAAAGCACACACUGGGUACGGUAGUCCACCACCUCGACGCCCAGGAACACCGGAAUCGACGGACGCGACGAAAUCAAGCCGCCCACAGUAUCAGAAGAUUAGCUGGACCAAACACCGUGCAGCACACCGCACGAUAAUCGCCGCCGACCUCAUUCUCCCUCCCCCUCACGGCCACUUGCUUGAGUACCGCCGUCCCGAACUCCUUUCCACCGAGUAUAGUAGCCGCUUAUUUGAGCUACGCGCUAACGGUGGGGGACUCCGUCCCUGAAUGUACCUCGAACAUCAUCAUACCUUCAUCAUAUACUAGGACUGGGACGUAGAACAUCGUCGGUCGACUAUACGAGCUCUCACCGCGUCGGCCCGCUUGCUUGAGCCUGUCAUCUCACUCUGUAAAAAUAUAUUAUAUUGUUUGUACAUACAAUAUAUAACGAGACGUGAUACCUACAA
Molecule: long non-coding RNA, 1068 nt
Organism: Rhopalosiphum padi (bird cherry-oat aphid)
Lineage: Eukaryota; Metazoa; Arthropoda; Insecta; Hemiptera; Aphididae
Exons: 2
Source: RefSeq, a predicted model, not a curated record